This 604-nucleotide ribosomal RNA is filed under the name uncultured fungus. RNAcentral describes it as "eukaryotic LSU rRNA". It matches the Rfam family "Eukaryotic large subunit ribosomal RNA", at positions 40 to 595 of the family's 3401-position model. Lineage: Eukaryota; Fungi. The record is from RNAcentral.
AUAUCAAUAAGCGGAGGAAAAGAAACUAACAAGGAUUCCCCUAGUAACGGCGAGUGAAGCGGGAACAGCUCAAAUUUGAAAUCUCACAAGGUCACUUGUGCGAAUUGUAGUUUAGAGAAACGUUUUCGGGGGCGGCGCGGGUAUAAGUCCUUUGGAAAGAGGCAUCAUAGAGGGUGAGAAUCCCGUUUAUGAUCCGCUGUCUGCUCCUAUGUGAUACGUUUUCCAAGAGUCAGGUAGUUUGGGAUUGCUGCCUAAAAUGGGUGGUAAAUACCAUCUAAAGCUAAAUAUUGGCGAGAGACCGAUAGCGAACAAGUACCGUGAGGGAAAGAUGAAAAGAACUUUGAAAAGAGAGUUAAACAGUACGUGAAAUUGCCAAAAGGGAAACGCUUGGAACCAGUAUUGCGCGCUGGUAAUCAGCUUCACGUCUCGAAAGGGAUCCGUGGGGUGCACUUGCUUGCGUGCGGGCCAACAUCAGUUUGAUUUGGGGUAAAAAGCCAGGGGAAGGUAGCUCGGGCUUCGGCUUGAGUGUUAUAGCCCUUGGUCAUGCCUUGGAUCGGACUGAGGACUGCAGUGUUACUUGGGUUCCCGGUCGCCUCCUGACACA